RNAcentral lists this ribosomal RNA (310 nucleotides) under uncultured bacterium. RNAcentral's name for it is "bacterial SSU rRNA". It matches the Rfam family "Bacterial small subunit ribosomal RNA", at positions 49 to 377 of the family's 1533-position model. The record is from RNAcentral.
UAACACAUGCAAGUCGAACGAUGAAAGAUUCUUCGGAAUUUGGAAGAGUGGCGAACGGGUGAGGAACACGUAAGAAUCUGCCCCUCGGUCGGGGACAACUCUUGGAAACGAGAGCUAAUACCCGAUACGCUGUGGAGUGAAAGAAUUUCGCCGAGGGAUGAUCUUGCGUCUGAUUAGCUAGUUGGUGUGGUAACCCCAUACCAAGGCGACGAUCAGUAGCUGGUCUGAGAGGAUGAACAGCCACAUUGGAACUGAGACACGGUCCAAACUCCUACGGGAGGCAGCAGUGGGGAAUUUUCCGCAAUGGACC